Molecule: ribosomal RNA, 1372 nt
Filed under: uncultured bacterium
Lineage: Bacteria
Description: bacterial SSU rRNA
Rfam family: Bacterial small subunit ribosomal RNA
Source: RNAcentral
GAUGAACGCUGGCGGCGUGCCUAAUACAUGCAAGUCGAGCGAACGGACGAGAAGCUUGCUUUUCUGAUGUUAGCGGCGGACGGGUGAGUAACACGUGGAUAACCUACCUAUAAGACUGGGAUAACUUCGGGAAACCGGAGCUAAUACCGGAUAAUAUUUUGAACCGCAUGGUUCAAAAGUGAAAGACGGUCUUGCUGUCACUUAUAGAUGGAUCCGCGCUGCAUUAGCUAGUUGGUAAGGUAACGGCUUACCAAGGCAACGAUGCAUAGCCGACCUGAGAGGGUGAUCGGCCACACUGGAACUGAGACACGGUCCAGACUCCUACGGGAGGCAGCAGUAGGGAAUCUUCCGCAAUGGGCGAAAGCCUGACGGAGCAACGCCGCGUGAGUGAUGAAGGUCUUCGGAUCGUAAAACACUGUUAUUAGGGAAGAACAUAUGUGUAAGUAACUGUGCACAUCUUGACGGUACCUAAUCAGAAAGCCACGGCUAACUACGUGCCAGCAGCCGCGGUAAUACGUAGGUGGCAAGCGUUAUCCGGAAUUAUUGGGCGUAAAGCGCGCGUAGGCGGUUUUUUAAGUCUGAUGUGAAAGCCCACGGCUCAGCCGUGGAGGGUCAUUGGAAACUGGAAAACUUGAGUGCAGAAGAGGAAAGUGGAAUUCCAUGUGUAGCGGUGAAAUGCGCAGAGAUGUGGAGGAACACCAGUGGCGAAGGCGACUUUCUGGUCUGUAACUGACGCUGAUGUGCGAAAGCGUGGGGAUCAAACAGGAUUAGAUACCCUGGUAGUCCACGCCGUAAACGAUGAGUGCUAAGUGUUAGGGGGUUUCCGCCCCUUAGUGCUGCAGCUAACGCAUUAAGCACUCCGCCUGGGGAGUACGACCGCAAGGUUGAAACUCAAAGGAAUUGACGGGGGCCCGCACAAGCGGUGGAGCAUGUGGUUUAAUUCGAAGCAACGCGAAGAACCUUACCAAAUCUUGACAUCCUUUGACAACUCUAGAGAUAGAGCCUUCCCCUUCGGGGGACAAAGUGACAGGUGGUGCAUGGUUGUCGUCAGCUCGUGUCGUGAGAUGUUGGGUUAAGUCCCGCAACGAGCGCAACCCUUAAGCUUAGUUGCCAUCAUUAAGUUGGGCACUCUAAGUUGACUGCCGGUGACAAACCGGAGGAAGGUGGGGAUGACGUCAAAUCAUCAUGCCCCUUAUGAUUUGGGCUACACACGUGCUACAAUGGACAAUACAAAGGGCAGCGAAACCGCGAGGUCAAGCAAAUCCCAUAAAGUUGUUCUCAGUUCGGAUUGUAGUCUGCAACUCGACUACAUGAAGCUGGAAUCGCUAGUAAUCGUAGAUCGGCAUGCUACGGUGAAUACGUUCCCGGGUCU